UACAGAGGGGGCAAGCGUUAUUCGGAAUUAUUGGGCGUAAAGGGCGCGUAGGCGGCUGUUCAAGUGACGGGUGAAAUCCCUCGGCUUAACCGAGGAACUGCCUGUCAGACUGGAAGGCUUGAGACCGGGAGAGGUGAGUGGAAUUCCCAGUGUAGCGGUGAAAUGCGUAGAUAUUGGGAGGAACACCAGUGGCGAAGGCGGCUCACUGGACCGGAACUGACGCUGAGGCGCGAAAGCGUGGGGAGCAAACAGG
RNAcentral lists this ribosomal RNA (253 nucleotides) under uncultured bacterium. RNAcentral describes it as "partial 16S ribosomal RNA". It matches the Rfam family "Bacterial small subunit ribosomal RNA", at positions 524 to 776 of the family's 1533-position model. The record is from RNAcentral.